This is an RNA transcript of Fragaria vesca subsp. vesca, 764 nucleotides long. It is a transcript of the gene named histidine triad nucleotide-binding protein 3-like, with no coding region annotated. NCBI's taxonomy places the organism in Eukaryota, Viridiplantae, Streptophyta, Magnoliopsida, Rosales, Rosaceae. The record is from RefSeq and is a predicted model, not a curated record. The transcript has 5 exons.
AAAAAAUCCUCUACCACUCUCCUCCACACGGUCAGCUCUUUCUCUCUCUACUAUUUUUUUUUCCUUCAACUUUGUCUCGUUUCCGAGAAAGUUGAACUUCCAAAUGGGUUUCAGACCUCUGCAUUUUCUCAGCAACCAUCGAUGAGUUUGGUACUUGAAUUGAUCUUGAGGCAUUAAUUUGUCAUUGGGUUUAUCCUGCAGGAUGACAAAGUGGUUGCUUUCCAAGACAUCAAACCCGCUGCUUUAAGGUAUUGAACAAAUUCUCCCAAUUCCAUUCAACAUGAUCAUUUUGAUUGAAUGAGUAAAGUGACGGUCUUUCAGGCAUUACUUGGUUAUUCCUGUGGAUCACAUCCCAACUGUUAAUGAUCUUCAAAGGAGACCUGAAGACUACACUUUGGUAAGUCACAUGUUGGAAGUGGGGAAAACACUGGUACAAAGAGAUGCACCUCAGUGCCAUCAGUACAGAUUUGGCUUUCAUCAACCACCAUUUAACUCUGUCAACCAUCUUCACCUCCAUUGUUUUGCACUACCUUAUACACCCAGAUGGAAACAUAUAAAAUAUCUAUCCGUGGGAUCAUUUGGAUUCAUUGAGGCUGAAAAGUUGUUGGAAAAGAUUAAGCCUUUGCCUUAACAGCUGUGAUUUCUAUUAUAAUUCGGGUUGAACAUGAUACAUCUUCAGAGUUCAGAUCUUCUUUCCCUAUUAAGUGCGUAGACUUUGUAACCCAAGAGGAUAGACUAUGUUAAAGCUCAAGGAGUUCGUAGAA